RNAcentral lists this ribosomal RNA (497 nucleotides) under uncultured bacterium. Its description in RNAcentral is "partial 16S ribosomal RNA". It matches the Rfam family "Bacterial small subunit ribosomal RNA", at positions 28 to 507 of the family's 1533-position model. The record is from RNAcentral.
GAUGAACGCUGGCGGCGUGCCUAAUACAUGCAAGUCGAGCGAACAGACGAGGAGCUUGCUCCUUUGACGUUAGCGGCGGACGGGUGAGUAACACGUGGGUAACCUACCUAUAAGACUGGGAUAACUUCGGGAAACCGGAGCUAAUACCGGAUAAUAUUUCGAACCGCAUGGUUCGAUAGUGAAAGAUGGCUUUGCUAUCACUUAUAGAUGGACCUGCGCCGUAUUAGCUAGUUGGUAAGGUAACGGCUUACCAAGGCAACGAUACGUAGCCGACCUGAGAGGGUGAUCGGCCACACUGGAACUGAGACACGGUCCAGACUCCUACGGGAGGCAGCAGUAGGGAAUCUUCCGCAAUGGGCGAAAGCCUGACGGAGCAACGCCGCGUGAGUGAUGAAGGUCUUCGGAUCGUAAAACUCUGUUAUUAGGGAAGAACAAACGUGUAAGUAACUGUGCACGUCUUGACGGUACCUAAUCAGAAAGCCACGGCUAACUACGUC